This 2743-nucleotide ribosomal RNA is filed under the name Acinetobacter baumannii. RNAcentral's name for it is "partial 23S ribosomal RNA". It matches the Rfam family "Bacterial large subunit ribosomal RNA". The record is from RNAcentral. Lineage: Bacteria; Pseudomonadati; Pseudomonadota; Gammaproteobacteria; Moraxellales; Moraxellaceae.
UGUUGCAAGGCGAACGAGGGGAAGUGAAACAUCUCAGUACCCUUAGGAAAAGAAAUCAAUUGAGAUUCCCUCAGUAGCGGCGAGCGAACGGGGAUCAGCCCAUUAAGUUAUGUGUGUUUUAGUGGAACGCUCUGGGAAGUGCGAACGUAGAGGGUGAUAUUCCCGUACACGAAAGGGCACACAUAAUGAUGACGAGUAGGGCGAGGCACGUGAAACCUUGUCUGAAUAUGGGGGGACCAUCCUCCAAGGCUAAAUACUCCUGACUGACCGAUAGUGAACCAGUACCGUGAGGGAAAGGCGAAAAGAACCCCUGUGAGGGGAGUGAAAUAGAUCCUGAAACCGCAUGCAUACAAGCAGUGGGAGCACCUUCGUGGUGUGACUGCGUACCUUUUGUAUAAUGGGUCAGCGACUUAUAUUCAGUAGCGAGGUUAACCGUAUAGGGGAGCCGUAGAGAAAUCGAGUCUUAAUAGGGCGUUUAGUUGCUGGGUAUAGACCCGAAACCAGGCGAUCUAUCCAUGAGCAGGUUGAAGGUUGGGUAACACUAACUGGAGGACCGAACCCACUGUCGUUGAAAAGCCAGGGGAUGACUUGUGGAUAGGGGUGAAAGGCUAAUCAAGCCUGGUGAUAGCUGGUUCUCCCCGAAAGCUAUUUAGGUAGUGCCUCGGACGAAUACCAUAGGGGGUAGAGCACUGUUUCGGCUAGGGGGUCAUCCCGACUUACCAAACCGAUGCAAACUCCGAAUACCUAUGAGUACUAUCCGGGAGACAGACUGCGGGUGCUAACGUCCGUAGUCAAGAGGAAAACAAUCCAGACCGCCAGCUAAGGCCCCAAAAUCAUAGUUAAGUGGGAAACGAUGUGGGAAGGCAUAGACAGCUAGGAGGUUGGCUUAGAAGCAGCCACCCUUUAAAGAAAGCGUAAUAGCUCACUAGUCGAGUCGGCCUGCGCGGAAGAUGUAACGGGGCUAAAACUAUGUGCCGAAGCUGCGGAUGUAUACUUUGUAUACGUGGUAGGGGAGCGUUCUGUAAGCCGAUGAAGGUGUGUUGAGAAGCAUGCUGGAGGUAUCAGAAGUGCGAAUGCUGACGUGAGUAACGACAAAACGGGUGAAAAACCCGUUCGCCGAAAGACCAAGGGUUCCAGUCCAACGUUAAUCGGGGCUGGGUGAGUCGACCCCUAAGGCGAGGCCGAAAGGCGUAGUCGAUGGGAAAAUGGUUAAUAUUCCAUUACUUCUGUGUAAUGCGAUGAGAGGACGGAGAAGGCUAAAUCAGCCUGGCGUUGGUUGUCCAGGUGAAAGGAUGUAGGCAUGUAUCUUAGGCAAAUCCGGGGUACUCUAUGCUGAGAUCUGAUAGCAAGCUGUACUUGUACAGCGAAGUGGUUGAUGCCAUGCUUCCAGGAAAAGUCUCUAAGCUUCAGUUACACAGGAAUCGUACCCGAAACCGACACAGGUGGUCAGGUCGAGUAGACCAAGGCGCUUGAGAGAACUCUGCUGAAGGAACUAGGCAAAAUGGUACCGUAACUUCGGGAGAAGGUACGCUGUUGUUGGUGAUGGAACUCGCUUCCUGAGCUGACGACAGCCGCAGAAACCAGGCCGCUGCAACUGUUUAUUAAAAACAUAGCACUCUGCAAACACGAAAGUGGACGUAUAGGGUGUGAUGCCUGCCCGGUGCUGGAAGGUUAAUUGAUGGGGUUAGCGUAAGCGAAGCUCUUGAUCGAAGCCCCAGUAAACGGCGGCCGUAACUAUAACGGUCCUAAGGUAGCGAAAUUCCUUGUCGGGUAAGUUCCGACCUGCACGAAUGGCAUAAUGAUGGCGGCGCUGUCUCCAGCAGAGGCUCAGUGAAAUCGAAAUCGCUGUGAAGAUGCAGUGUACCCGCGGCUAGACGGAAAGACCCCGUGAACCUUUACUGCAGCUUGACACUGAACUUUGACCUUACUUGUGUAGGAUAGGUGGGAGGCUUUGAAGCUGGAACGCUAGUUCCAGUGGAGCCGUCCUUGAAAUACCACCCUGGUAAUGUUGAGGUUCUAACUCUGUCCCGUGAUCCGGGACGAGGACCGUGUCUGGUGGGUAGUUUGACUGGGGCGGUCUCCUCCUAAAGAGUAACGGAGGAGUACGAAGGUGCGCUCAGCGUGGUCGGAAAUCACGCGUAGAGUAUAAAGGCAAAAGCGCGCUUAACUGCGAGACCCACAAGUCGAGCAGGUACGAAAGUAGGUCUUAGUGAUCCGGUGGUUCUGUAUGGAAGGGCCAUCGCUCAACGGAUAAAAGGUACUCUGGGGAUAACAGGCUGAUACCGCCCAAGAGUUCAUAUCGACGGCGGUGUUUGGCACCUCGAUGUCGGCUCAUCUCAUCCUGGGGCUGAAGCAGGUCCCAAGGGUAUGGCUGUUCGCCAUUUAAAGAGGUACGCGAGCUGGGUUUAGAACGUCGUGAGACAGUUCGGUCCCUAUCUACCGUGGGCGCUGGAAAUUUGAGAGGAUCUGCUCCUAGUACGAGAGGACCAGAGUGGACGAACCUCUGGUGUACCGGUUGUGACGCCAGUCGCAUCGCCGGGUAGCUAUGUUCGGAAGGGAUAACCGCUGAAAGCAUCUAAGCGGGAAGCCUACCUCAAGAUAAGAUUUCCCUAGGACUUUAUGUCCUCUAAAGAGCCGUUCGAGACUAGGACGUUGAUAGGUUGGAUGUGGAAGCAUAGUGAUAUGUGAAGCUGACCAAUACUAAUUGCUCGUGAGGCUUGACUAUACAACACCCAAGCAGUUG